AUGAGUAUCCUCAGUUGGAAUUGUCGGGGGCUUGGGAACCCCGAGGCAAUUCGAGAGCUUCGCAAUGUGCUGAAGCAAGAAGGGCCCACCCUCGUCUUUGUCAUGGAAACAAAGGUGAGGGCUACAAGGGUGGAAAACCUGAAGGUCAGUUUAGGUUUUGAUGGAUGCUUUGCGGUGGACAGUGUGGGGUUGAGCGGAGGCAUCGGGCUUUUUUGGUCCAAGGAUGUAUCGGCCAGCCUAACAAAUUACAGUACCGGCCACAUUGAUGUUGUGGUGCGGAAACGGAUUCAAGGUGCAACGGAGUGGAGAUUCACCGGCUUCUAUGGCGCGCCAAGAGCUGGUGAUCGUCACAACAGUUGGCGACUUCUACGAACCCUGCUCACAUCCCCUCAUGGAGAAUGGGUUUGCAUGGUAGACUUCAACGAAACCCUGUAUGGGGAUGAACACUUCAGCCGGGCAGCCCGACCAGAACGGCAAAUGAGAGCGUUUCGUGAAGUGAUCAAAGAGUGUGCCUGA
This 516-nucleotide ribosomal RNA is filed under the name Triticum aestivum (bread wheat). Its description in RNAcentral is "partial small subunit ribosomal RNA". The record is from RNAcentral. Lineage: Eukaryota; Viridiplantae; Streptophyta; Magnoliopsida; Poales; Poaceae.